CGUGGACACAUAGCAGCCAUAAAAAACGAACACGUGAAGGAAAGUGUCAGCGGGGCGUGAAAGAUGUCACUGCCACACUGCAUGCAAAAAGGUUACAAACACGGGUCUGGAACUCGCUGCUUACUGUUCUGUCUUGUGCCCUGGACAGGAUAUCAUCUUAUACUGUAAGUUUAUUAAAGAAACACUACAGUAUAGAUGAUGUACUAUCCAGGGUUUCAUUCCCCCCGCCGGCACUAUAACGCCUAACUGACUGUGGUAGGCUGCGCACACGCUGCAGAGGAGGGCCGUCAAACCGUUACCAUUACUGAGUUUCAGCAAUGGUAAGGGUUAUAUGGCCCUCGCUCAAUGUCAUCUGGAGCGGGAGGAUGGAGAAAGUUGGUGAUUGAUGUGUUAUCCAAGAGCUUCUGGAGGACAUCUUUAGAUCCCAGUUUUUGAGACGUACUUGUCGAUGCAUGUAAAAUAAAGUUUAUGGCUCCCGAA
This is a long non-coding RNA of Perca flavescens (yellow perch), 480 nucleotides long. RefSeq lists it as uncharacterized. Lineage: Eukaryota; Metazoa; Chordata; Actinopteri; Perciformes; Percidae. The transcript has 2 exons. The record is from RefSeq and is a predicted model, not a curated record.